Molecule: small RNA, 28 nt
Filed under: Bombyx mori (domestic silkworm)
Lineage: Eukaryota; Metazoa; Arthropoda; Insecta; Lepidoptera; Bombycidae
Description: ovarian small RNA-7733
Source: RNAcentral
UCUCGACGAUGAAAGGCAGACCAAGAGC